This is a small nuclear RNA of Octopus sinensis (East Asian common octopus), 107 nucleotides long. The record is from RefSeq and is a predicted model, not a curated record. NCBI's taxonomy places the organism in Eukaryota, Metazoa, Mollusca, Cephalopoda, Octopoda, Octopodidae.
GUAAAAGCUACAGCAGUACAUAUUCUAAAAUUGGAACAAUCCAGAGAAGAUUAGCAUGGCCCCUGCACAUGGAUGACUCACAAAUUCGUGAAGCAUUCCAUAUAUUU